GGCUUACACAAGCGGUGGAGCAUGUGGUUUAAUUCGAAACAACGCGCAGAACCUUACCAAUCCUUGCAAUAUACAGGAAACAGCUGUUACAAGUUGUCUUUUGGUAUACAGGCGCUGCAUGGCUGUCGUCAGUUCGUGGCGUGAGCUGUUGGGUUAAGUCCUAGAACGAACGCAACCCUCUUAGCAUGCGCAAUAAUGUUGCCUUGCUAAACUGCCAGUGACAUACGGGAGGAAGGAGAGGAUGACGUCAAGUCCGCAUGGCCCUUAUGGGUUGGGCUACACACGUGCUACAAUGGCGAACACAAAGGGAUGCAAGAUGGCAACAUGGAGCAAAUCCUCAACUUUCGUCGUAGUUCGGAUUGUUCUCUGCAACUCGAGAACAUGAAGUUGGAAUCGCUAGUAAUCGUAGAUCAGCAUGCUACGGUGAAUUUGUAUCUAAGCCUUGUACACACCGCCCGUCACAUAAUGGGAGCGGGACUUGCACAAAGCAUAUUAAAUACCAUUUGGACAGAUUUUAACACGUUUUUUUCUGCCUGUGUUUGUUUAGUACGUUACUGUAGGUACUGUGACUGAUAUGAAGUCGUAACAAGGUAGCCGUAGGGGAACCUGCGGCUGGAAGGACUCCUUU
Molecule: ribosomal RNA, 628 nt
Filed under: bacterium
Lineage: Bacteria
Description: bacterial SSU rRNA
Rfam family: Bacterial small subunit ribosomal RNA
Source: RNAcentral